AGAUCGGCUUACUGGUCGUGCUUUUGUACGUACUGGUAUAAUCGGUUUCUCCUUUCUGACGAACUUUAAUGCCAUUAAUUUGGUGUUGCGGGGAAUUUGGACUGUUACUUUGAAAAAAUUAGAGUGUUUAAAGCAAGCUAACGCUUGAAUACAUUAGCAUGGAAUAAUGAAAUAGGACGUUCGAUCCUAUUUUGUUGGUUUCUAGGAUUGACGUA
RNAcentral lists this ribosomal RNA (215 nucleotides) under Campeiostachys nutans. RNAcentral's name for it is "Elymus nutans partial small subunit ribosomal RNA". The stretch from base 46 to 215 matches the Rfam family "Eukaryotic small subunit ribosomal RNA", at positions 693 to 864 of the family's 1831-position model. The record is from RNAcentral. Lineage: Eukaryota; Viridiplantae; Streptophyta; Magnoliopsida; Poales; Poaceae.